AAAAAAGAAGAAAACCGCCACGUGUACGUACUCAAACGGCCAGGAACCGGCACCUGCCGGAUGGUACCUAGGCUCGGGCCGCGACCGGUUGCUUUAAAAGAGGAGGUCUGCGGCGGAGGAACGCGUGCUGGUCCUGGUUGUGGUUCUCCUCGGCGAUCCGGCGGGAUUACUACGGCGGGAUGGAGUGGUGGGAUCGCGUGGCGUUCCCGAUGAGGAGGGCCUGGAUCGGCGUCACCGCUCGACUCGGCCUCCGGAAGACCGGGUUGGGGAGGCUGAGGAAGGAGGUGAGUACGUGCGAGUACGAGGACGUGCACGUGAUGUGGGAGCUGCUGCGGAGGACGGACGCGGAGGUGGCGAGGAUGAGACCGGGGGGGAGGAGGAGGAGGAGGAGGGGGCGGCACGUGUGGGACGUGUUCGGGUGGGCUCGGCGAGCGGCGCCGUGCAACUACUGCCGGGGCUUCUGAGCCUCUGGCACGUGUGAGAGCCCCCUGUGUCUGUGUGUCCUUUUCCCUUUCUCUGUUGUUAUGCCAUGGGGAUUUUACUUUGUGAGUCAUCAUCCUUCUUCGUUGUAGAUACCACCAACUACAGAGAAUGGGAAUGGAGAGGGGAGAGAUGCCACUUGUUGGUUCUCUCUCUCUUGUUGAUGCCAUGGUGUUCGGCUAAGAUAUUUUUUGUUUCUUGAUAUAUUUAGUAUGAAUAAAUGAUUAUAGAUUUUAAUUA
Molecule: non-coding RNA, 720 nt
Organism: Phoenix dactylifera (date palm)
Lineage: Eukaryota; Viridiplantae; Streptophyta; Magnoliopsida; Arecales; Arecaceae
Source: RefSeq, a predicted model, not a curated record